RNAcentral lists this ribosomal RNA (436 nucleotides) under uncultured bacterium. RNAcentral describes it as "bacterial SSU rRNA". It matches the Rfam family "Bacterial small subunit ribosomal RNA", at positions 954 to 1392 of the family's 1533-position model. The record is from RNAcentral.
UGGGAACGCGAAGAACCUUACCUAGACUUGACAUCCCCCGAAUUACCUGUAAUGAGGGAAGUCCCUUCGGGGACAGGGAGACAGGUGGUGCGUGGUUGUCGUCAGCUCGUGUCGUGAGAUGUUGGGUUAAGUCCCGCAACGAGCGCAACCCUUAUCAUUAGUUGCUACCAUUAAGUUGAGCACUCUAAUGAGACUGCCCGGGUUAGCCGGGAGGAAGGUGGGGAUGACGUCAAAUCAUCAUGCCCCUUAUGUCUAGGGCUACACACGUGCUACAAUGGCUGGUACAGAGAGAUGCUAAACCGCGAGGUGGAGCCAAACUUUAAAACCAGUCUCAGUUCGGAUUGUAGGCUGAAACUCGCCUACAUGAAGCUGGAGUUGCUAGUAAUCGCGAAUCAGAAUGUCGCGGUGAAUACGUUCCCGGGUCUUGUACACACCG